GACAGUGUGGCAUAGUGGUUUCAGUGAUGGACUAUGACUCUGGAGAUCAGGGUUCGAUUCCUGGCUCGGCCA
Molecule: transfer RNA, 72 nt
Filed under: Phrynosoma platyrhinos (Desert horned lizard)
Lineage: Eukaryota; Metazoa; Chordata; Lepidosauria; Squamata; Phrynosomatidae
Description: tRNA-OTHER
Source: RNAcentral